Molecule: long non-coding RNA, 1009 nt
Filed under: Gallus gallus (chicken)
Lineage: Eukaryota; Metazoa; Chordata; Aves; Galliformes; Phasianidae
Description: lncRNA (ENSGALG00010009519.1)
Source: RNAcentral
UUUCCAUGAAGUUUUCCAGAGCAUGCAUAUUAUGGACUUCUUUUUUUUUUUUUUCUUUCUUUCUUUCUUUCUUUCUUUCUUUCUUUCUUUCUUUUUCUUUUUUUUUCUGAAAGGGAUUUUUGCAGUAUUUUGCCAUCAUGAAGAAAGGAUGUGUGAAAAUUGGCAGGUGUUAGAGUCUACUGGUCAUUCAUGCCACGCCUGCUGUGGAGGAAAAAUAAUCAAGAGCUUAACAACCUAUCUGCUUUUGAAGAUAAAGGAUAUGCUGCCAAGGCAGUGAAGUGACUUCUGCGUCUCUAUUUGUUUUCCAGCAAAUGCUUUUCUUAUGAAAAAGAAAAAUCUUGUUGUCAUCUAUGUCAGUGGUGAAGAGACCUUAUGCAGCUAUUUUGACUAUACACGCAGUAAAAAGGGAGACUUUGGAUGCAGACUGUAGCCAUCUCUCCAGCCUUGUCUUUGGCUCCAGAACCUGCUGCUCCUGACAGGAUUAUCUGCUUGGAGCCUGGACUUGAUUUACUUUUGAGUCUAUGGCAGCUGAUGGGCCCUGUUACCAGCACCCAGCUAUGCAUGCUAUGUUGACAUCUUGUGGGACAGCACCCUGUUGAGAAACUAUGCACCACUGACUGACAUCAGUAAGGAGGAUUCUACAUGGCCUGUUUCUCUGCUCCCAGAACAUGCAGAGAAACAUAAAUCCUAACAGAUCCAGGGUCAUUGCACAGCAAGGAGUGCUCAAAAGCUCUCACUUUUUAUCUUCUUGAUAUUUUCUGGUUUACUGUGUUCAAGUUCAGUUGUGAGGAGUUCAAACACACAGUAUGAAAAAAAACCCAACCCAACUUUUGAUAGCCAUGCUCAUGCUCCUUUUACCCAUCUUUGCUGGUAAAUAUACCUUUUUAUUUUUUUCCCAUGGGUGCCUUAAUUCAGCCAUUUUUUACUUUGUAUUGUGUUGAUUUUACAUUGUGGAUUUCAAUCCUUCAGAUACAGAGUAGUAAGUAUUCCAGAAAGAUAUGUUUAAAUG